This 126-nucleotide small RNA is filed under the name Marmota monax (woodchuck). Lineage: Eukaryota; Metazoa; Chordata; Mammalia; Rodentia; Sciuridae. The record is from RNAcentral.
GCUAGGGUACGGUGGUACAUGCUUGGAGUCCUGGCUACUUGGGAGGCUGGAGCUAGAGGAUUGCUUGAGCCCAGGAGUCCCAGGCAAGGCCAGGGACUUGAGCAACAUAGUGAGACCCUAUUUUUU